UUUCCGUAGGUGAACCUGCGGAAGGAUCAUUAAAGUUAUAGUCCCCCGGCCCUCUGGGCUGGGGUCUUCUAUACCACCCUUUGUUUAUUACACCUUUGUUGCUUUGGCAGGCCUGCCCUCGGGCUGCUGGCUCCGGCCGGCUCGCGUCUGCCAGAGGACCUAAACUCUGUUUGUAUAUGAAGUCUGAGUACUAUAUAAUAGUUAAAACUUUCAACAACGGAUCUCUUGGUUCUGGCAUCGAUAAAGAACGCAGC
RNAcentral lists this unclassified non-coding RNA (254 nucleotides) under plant metagenome. Its description in RNAcentral is "partial contains small subunit ribosomal RNA, internal transcribed spacer 1, and 5.8S ribosomal RNA". The stretch from base 206 to 254 matches the Rfam family "5.8S ribosomal RNA", at positions 1 to 49 of the family's 154-position model. The record is from RNAcentral.